GACGAACGCUGGCGGCGUGCUUAACACAUGCAAGUCGAACGAGACGAUUGAAAGCUUGCUUUCGAAAGUCGAGUGGCAAACGGGUGAGUAACGCGUAGACAACCUGCCUUUGAGAUGGGGACAACAGUUCGAAAGGACUGCUAAUACCGAAUGUUGUAUAUUUUCCACAUGGAAGAUAUAUUAAAGAUGGCCUCUAUUUAUAAGCUAUCGCUCAAAGAUGGGUCUGCGUCUGAUUAGCUAGUUGGUGGGGUAACGGCCUACCAAGGCGACGAUCAGUAGCCGGUCUGGGAGGAUGAACGGCCACAUUGGGACUGAGACACGGCCCAGACUCCUACGGGAGGCAGCAGUGGGGAAUCUUCCACAAUGGACGAAAGUCUGAUGGAGCAACGCCGCGUGAGUGAAGAAGGGUUUCGGCUCGUAAAGCUCUGUUGUCGGGGACGAAUGUGCAGUAUUUGAAUAAAGUACUGUAAUGACGGUACCUGACGAGGAAGCCACGGCUAACUACGUGCCAGCCGCCGCGGUAA
Molecule: ribosomal RNA, 524 nt
Filed under: uncultured bacterium
Lineage: Bacteria
Description: partial 16S ribosomal RNA
Rfam family: Bacterial small subunit ribosomal RNA
Source: RNAcentral